GGUCUCGGUUUUUGGAGGACACAGCCUCCUUUUUAUCCUAAUCUCCCAGCCGCAUGUCCCUCUCUCUUUCCCCAUUGGCUGAGGAACUUGAGAGGUACAGAUUUCCCAGAAUGCCUGAUACCUAAGAUUCCCCUCUAAUGUAUAACCCUCCCUCUUGAUUUCUAAUUCUUAUGGAAUUUGUGGUGUUUCCCCAUUGUCUCUUUUAUCUUUCAAUACGCAGUUUCAUUUACCAGCAUACCUACAUGUUAAACCUUAAAUGUUUGUAAAGGCAAAUGUCUUUUUCCAUUCAUCAAUCAGUGGAAUCCAUCCCAUUCUUUCUUUUAUCUCUCAGUGCUAGUUUCAUCUGUCAGCAGACCCACAGCUUGUUUGUAAAGACAAAUCAGUCAUUCCUCUCACUGCUCAACAUCUCUUGCUGAGCAGGUUUUGCAGGAGGCCUUCAAAAAGUUUAUCUGCAUAGGUAAAAUGGAAGAAUUAGGACCUAGAUCUGUAUUGUUUUUCAGGGGCAUUGUGAUGAAGUAUUCAUUUUUCAAACAGGACUAUCCCAAUGCUCCUUAAAUAUAUAAAAAAUACAUAUGGUAAAACAUAAUUCUGCCGCCCUCAAAAUAUUUAUUUUUUUUCUGAGUAGAUGUACUGACUUCUUUAUGAACAAAAAUCUCAGUAAUUUGGUCUAUGAUGGAUGAUGUUUAAGUAUUUCUAAAAAGGCUAGAUAUGUUAUUAAGAUGGAGCAUUUUCCUUAUUCAUAUAAAAUGGAAAAUGCCACACAACUUAAUUCUUUGAAAGCUUAUUAAUAUUUCUCAAAUUAAAGUACUUCAGUGAAGUUCUGGCUUGGUUUUAAUUGCCUGGUCCUUUUUCUUCAGAAGGUGAAAAUUUGCCUUUGUGGGGCUAUAGGACUUAGCAAGCAAUUAGUGAAUAAUGUUUCCAAAAGAUGCUUUCAUUCUUUGAUGGCAAGAAAUAUUAAGCUCUUUGAACAGAAAUGGUGACUUACUGGCUCCAACUGAUUUGCAGAGUCACACCAGCAUUUUUUUGUAGAGCUCUUUGUCACACCAAGCCAUGACAUUAUUGGUCUGGCUUAAGAAAAUUAACACUGUAAGUGCAAAGACCUGGUCUAAGAAUUCGAGGAUUUGCCCUGAGCAAAGCACAUGGUGCUUUUUGUGAAAUAACAAAUCAAUAAACACCUGUUGCUGAGGCAGGAGCAACCCAAAUUACGUAAAUUAAAAGGCCAGGAGACCUUCUGCUCCCUUUAAUAAGCCUUUAUUAGGAAGAACUAAGCCUAGAGGUGGGGGCUCGGGGUGCAUGCCACCGCCGCCGCUGCUCCCCAUGGUCGAUGUGUAGGAGGAAGACCACACAGGCCUGUCAUCAUCCACUGUCAGCAGGACUGGAGUCUCUAUCCUCACUGGGACCACCCAGAAACUCUGUUUCAGGCAUGAAAAUCCAGGGUGUCUUCCCUCAAGUCCUGCCAGGUCAUGGCGACGAGCUUGCCGGACUGACAUUGGCGCACCCAGUCUCCCCAGGUUCCUGCUGCCUCCACAGUGUGGUCCUCCAGAUGUUCCUCAAGAGUGGCUCAUUGUCCAGGGCUGUCUUCGCUCCCAGACUGCAUCAUACAGUAGAGACCUUCAUGGAGAUUUUACUUUGAAAAUGGAGCAGCAUCCUGGCAGCAAAAGGAUGAAAGCCUUUGAAGAGCUCUUCUGAGGAUAGAAAGCCCAUGAUCUCCUUCAGGCUGCAAUUUUAUUCAUUGCUAUUUCCCAGAUAUUUUUUUCUAGCACUCACCAAGAUAAAUUUCAAUUUUAAAAAAGAGUCCCAGUGAAAGAGAUAUAUUAAAGAUAUGUAACGCAGCUGUCAUUAAAGCACUUUGUAUAAAUAUAUACCAAUAAUAUAUACCUUGGUGUAAAGCAAAAAUAUACAAAACAAAUACCUUUAUAUUGGAGGCUUAAUUUUAUUCAGGUGCACGGAAAUAUGCAACAAAUCCAGUUACGCAAGCUUAGCAAAACCUCAACUCUCAUGCAGUAAAUGGUCUCUGAAGAUGAGGUAACCUUUUGGGCCACUUGUUUAUAUAAUGCCUUUCCCAUGUGUGAAGGAUGUUCAUCUCUACCUCUGGUAAGAUAGUACUUAAUGAUUAUAACAGUAAUUCUGUCAAUGUUUUGAAGACAAAUUAUGGAUAACAUAUCACCUAGAGUGAUGCCUAUUUUGCAUACCUGAAACCACUGAAAAUGGUUUCUAAUUGUUUCAGAACAGAAAAUGUUUAUUGUAUCUCUCAUCUAUUUGUGUGCUGCUAUCCUACAUAUAUACUGUCCUUUGAAUCUUCAAACAUGACAUGGCUGAACAUAUGUAUGAGUGAUCACUGGUGCCUCAAUGCAGGUAAUCCAGUUGUCAUUAUUUUGAAUGGGACAGUUCAAAUAACUGUCCUUGGGAAAUUGUUUACAUUUUUCCUAUGGUUUUUUGUGUGUCUUUAAAUAAUGCCCUUUUGGCUCUGGGAUACCUACAUAGAUAUCUCUGAAGGGUUGGGAUUUUUUCCUGUACUUACCUUUUAUUUGCUUGCUUGUUCUGAGAAAAAAAAGUCAGAUGUAAUAAUGAAAGACUUGCAAAAAAAGUGGAGUUGAAUUAGAACUUAUAUUCCAUCCUUAGAUUGUCUCCUAAGAAUUUGGUAUAGGAAAACAGUGGAUUUGCAUUCAUUGUUGGUUCUUAAUUGUAUUAAUCAGUGACUGAGGGUAGAUCCCUACUAAAUUAGGGAUUUAAUAGCUCACUACCAAAUUCUGACAUACUGUGCUGAAACACUUGAUGACUAAGCUGCAGAUACCAUCUCUAGUGAGAUGCAUUAUUCCAGAUGUUCAUUUCUCUUAGUGCAAAUAUACUUUUUUUUUACAGAAGCAGAGGUACCUGUAAACAAAAAUGUUUUAAGUCUAUCAGUAGUCCUUUUUGCUCUGGAGGGUUGUGCAGAUGUUAUAUUACACGCAUUUAAGAUAAUUCCCCUACUCUUUCAAGAUUAAACUACAGAAUAUUCACAGAUUUUAGAAAACAAACUCAGGCACACUGAAAAGAGGGGAAAUAAGGUAAUUCUUUGCUACAAUUCUUGAAAGAAAAAUAGCCAUAAUAGAGACAUAAGAAGAUAAACACAGAACAGUAAUGAUUUCAAAUAGUCCUUUGCAUAUAUGAUCUUAAUUGACUAUACGUAUAACUGAUUGUUUUCCUAGAACAAGGCAAAAUCUGCUAACAAAGUCUACUGAAAAAACAAUAGUUGUUUAACUUUUCGAAUUUGUUUAUUUUAUGCUAACCUGGGUUUUUAGAGGUAACUGCAUUCAGAAUCACAUGAACAAAGGUAAUUCUUCAAUCCAGAGGAAAUCAUGCUGUGACAGCUGAAUAUGCAUAUUUUAUUUAGAAGUGUGGGAAAAUAAGCCCUUGAAAAACAUUUGUCAAUGUUUUUCAUUGUCAACAUUUAGCUGUGAUUUAUCUUGGGUAAAUUUGCCUGUGUUGUGCCAGGCUUAAAGCACCUUUUUAUGGGUUGAGUCAUGCAUCCACACCUUUUGAAAAUCCAGGUAGUUCAAUUUGUCAUGGUUUAACUUAUAGUGGGUUCCUUACAAGCUAAUUAUUAGACACUGUGCAAAAUAUUACAAAUUUAGUAUUCUGGACAAGGAUGCAGCCUAAAAUGAACAUUGAGGGAGAUUAUUCAGGCAUUAAUGUACAACAUGACCAAAACUGUGCCACAUAAUUAUCCAUUCAAAAUUAAUGAAAAAGAAUGAAGUUAUGACUCUGGUAAGAGAGGCAGAGAAAAAAAUGAAAUAGAUCUGUUUAAUAUUUACUUAUUACUUUAUACUUAUUGUUAGGAGUAUUAAAAUGCUAACUGAGCCUUGCAAAAGCAGUGUCAAGAAGAUAAAAGAAAUUUUUGUCCCCAUUUUCUACCAUGUCCCACAGAAUCUUCAUUAAAUUCUUCAUUUCUCUAAGACUAAAAAUAAAGAUACCCAGUUGCGGAUAUAGAAUGAAUUUAACAAUCUGCCAAAUUCACCAUACUGUUGCACAUUUAUUGAACUAUCAGUCAAAAAUACCCUGAAUUUUAGGAGAGCAAGGCUUCAGUCGUUCAUGAAAUUAGUGGAAGACAUCCCCUGCAAAAUUUCCCUCAGGGAUACAGGAACAGACCAGAGAUGGUAGCUGAUUUCUUUCUUAAAACUAAAAUGCUUUGUGUUACCAUGUGUAAGAAGUGAGGCAACAAAGACAGGAUAGAAUCAUGGCUGAGUAAGAAGGAAAUGCACAGGCAGCAGGUGCAGGUACAUGAACCCUGAAAAAGAAAAGACUGUUGUACUCUUUUUCCUUAUUUUUCACUGGCUGUCAUUCUACCUACAUUUGUCAAGUCCCUAAACCUCAAGACAGGGACUGGAUGAACAAUGUCCCAUGGGGUGCAGGCCACAGCUGCUUCACCAUGGUCAUCAGCACAGCCUGCAGGGGAACCUUGGCUCCAGCGCCUGGAGCACCUCCUGCCCCUGCUUCUCCACUGACUGCAGUGUCUCCAUGUUGUUUUCCCUCACAUGUUCUCUCAUCCUCCUCUUUUCUGACUAGAAGGUGAAACCCUGUGACUUUGUUUUGAUUUUCUUCUUAAAUAUGUUAUCACAGAGGUGUUACCAACCUCUCUCGUUGGCCAGCUUUGGCCAGCAGCAUGUCUAUCUUCAGAGCCAUCAGGGACUGGCUCUGCUGGACAUGGGGGAAGCUUCUAGAAGCUUCCCACAGGAGCUUUCUUUGUGGCCCCCCUGUUACCCCAAACCAGGCCUUGCCAAACCAAUGCAAUCUUCCACAUAAAUGGAAGGGAGAUGGUGAUCUCUUCUUUGGUGUCCAGUGAAAAAACCCAUAGCAUAGGGAAGAACUUUACUGUAAAGGUGAUGAGGCACUGGAAGUGGUUGUCCAGAGAACCUGUGAAUGCCCCAUGCCUCAAUGCUUCAAGACCAGCCUGGAUGAGCUCUGAGCAACCUGGUCUAGUGGAAGAUGUCCCAACCCAUGGUGAAGGAAUUUGAACAAGAUGGUGUUUAAUGCAAACAAGCCACUCUGGGAUUCUUUGGUCUCAUGAUUCUGUUGUUUGAUUAUUUGAAGACUUUAGUUAACGUAUUUCCAUCAUUCUUCAUUAACCCAGGAUUUACUUGUCCCUUAGAAAGCCAAAGCAACACUAGGAAUUAUGCCAGAAAGGAGACAUCACAAACUGCCCCUCUUCCAUAAUGAAGGAGGCAGGAUCCCAUUAGCAUGGAAUGUUUGAAGAUGAUGUGAAAAUUGCUCUUUCUUGAAAAUAGAUCUACCAGUGCAGACAUCCACUUGCACUCUGACACCUAAAAAAGGAGUCCAUGCAUUGCUUGUGGUCUCUGAAGAAAGAUACACAAUUUUUUUCAGACAGAUUAAAAUCAUCCUCUCUAUGCAAAGCCUUAGAAAUGCAUUUAAAUUUUAAAACAACAACACAUCUUUCUCUUUUUUGUCAUAUAUUUACUUUUUUCCCAGUUUAUUUCCUUUAUAUGUUACUGAUAUUUAUGUGUCAAAAGAUUCCCUCUGGACACAUCUCCAAUCACCUUAUGAAAAUAGCAGAAGAAAGUGCUGGAACCUGGCAUAUGUCCUUUAGGUUAUGCUUAGAUGUUUGCAGAGGUCAUUUUCUCUUAAGUGAACAGUGAUCACUUACGGAGAAGGACAGCAAGCCACUGAGUGAAUUUGGAAUUUGUCAGGGGUGUGAAGUCCAACAACAUGCCACCAAAACUAAAUUUCUUCUGGCUUACAUGAAAAAAACUGAGCAAGAUAUGUGAACCUAUGUGAGAACCUCAUGCAUGAUACGCUUAUUUGUCUUGCUAGUAGACUCAGGUUUCCAGAAAUUGAGUCCUUUCUUUUGAUCUCAGAGCAGAUGCAAGAAAAUUUUUUUGCCUUGGUCCAUUAUUCUUCUGAGGUAAUUGAACAUAGUAUUGCUGGAGCCAACCAGGUUGUUUUUCAUCCAGUUUCUAACAUUGUGGCAGAUGUAGUCAUUCAUAUUAUGUAUCUGGAUUCCUCUUAAGUGAAAGCAAAAAGGUUUAACGCCAUCUUGCAAUCCUUUUUUAUCUCUAAUGUAAACUUAAACCUGCCUAUUUUCAUUUGGAAACACUGAAGUAAAUAACAGCAAAUAUGCAGUUAGUUCUUUUGAUGAAGGAUUGUUUUUCAAAAAUUUAGGGUUCAUGUCUUUCUUGUUUGUUGUAUUUGUCUUAUUUUAAUGAAAUGUAAUCAAGGUGUCUGUCCCUUGUGAGAUACCUAUGCUUAUCUUGUAGGUUUCAGUAUUUGCCCCCUUGUUUUUUCUAGUCCUCCUGGAAAUAGCAAGGCUUCUUUUUUUUUGUAAAAUUUUCUACCAACCUACCUUUUGAUUAGUUUAUAGUGCAAAUUAAUAAAUCAAAAAUAAUAUGAAAUUCAUUCAUUGGCUGGUAAAAGAUCUGCUCUAUUGUAUGAGAAUAAUCAUAUGUCAAUGAAGACUUGGAACAUCUUUCCAAAUACAAUUAAUAUUUGAAGUAUGACAUUAUUCCAAUUUCUUCAAUUACCUUUGGCUUUUUUUGCAAAUUUCUGAAAGUGAAUGAAUGACAUAUAUGUUGUUUCAGCAAUGCUUUUAUAUGAAAAUACUCUGUGCAUUGAUAGCAGGUGUUAUUAUAAAUUCUUGGUACUAAAUUCCUCAGUCUGUGUCAGAAUGGUAUUUUCUUUCAUUCAGAUAAAAACACAUCUCCAGACAAUCUCAUGCAGGAGAGUUUUAAAGAAUUCCAUCAUGGCAGCUGAUUAUUAGGGACAAAGUUUAAUCAGGAAUGUCAAUUGUGCAAAUUGGUAGACUGCUACCAGUUACAUUUAUUACAACAAUUCUUGUAACUUUGUCUUCUUUUUCAAAAGUUGGUAAUAAAUAUGUGAUGUAGCCUUAUUCAA
This is a long non-coding RNA of Parus major (Great Tit), 6885 nucleotides long. RefSeq lists it as uncharacterized. The record is from RefSeq and is a predicted model, not a curated record. The transcript has 2 exons. Lineage: Eukaryota; Metazoa; Chordata; Aves; Passeriformes; Paridae.